AUACAUAUACCCUGAACGUGCCCAAUCUCAUCUGAUCUCAGAAGCUAAGCAGGGUCGGGCCUGGUUAGUACUUGGAUGGGAUACAUAAUAAUUAUACAUAUUUAUGGGGUUCAUGUGAUAUU
RNAcentral lists this ribosomal RNA (122 nucleotides) under Microcebus murinus (gray mouse lemur). The record is from RNAcentral. Lineage: Eukaryota; Metazoa; Chordata; Mammalia; Primates; Cheirogaleidae.